CACCAAACAAGUUAUAAAUAGUAGACAUUUGAUCCCUGAAAAAAUCACUCUUCAAAAAAUAUUUAGCUUUGAGGAGGUGAUAAGUCCAUUCAUAUUGGUCACCAAACGCCAUCUUUACUUGCAAAGCAUGGCUAAGUUAAAUGCCUGAAGAUUUCUGAACCUCAUACCACUCGUGUCCUAUGAAGCACUCACACAAACAUGAACACUUAGUAUGAUACCAACACAUAUACGUUAAUAAUAAUUUGAGAAAAUGAAAGUGAUUAUACAUAACCACAAUUGACAAUGUUGUUUUGAUAAAAAAGAAAUAGAUUCUUCCAAAAAAAAAAUCCAUUAAAAUUAAACAAUGUUCAAUAAAGCGACAAAGAUCUAUUAAUACACUAAUAUGUACAAACAUAUUUGUAUUCUGCUCAAACAAACUGACUUUCCAAAUCCAUUUUAUUCAUAUGCCACUAAACAAGUACUAGGCUACAGAGAAUUUCAACAAAGGAUUUGAAGAGAAAUAAGAACAAAAUGGCUUGAUUAAUUAGUUGUGGUGGUAGUAGGUUUGUGAAUAACAAAAGCCAUGGCUUGCAUGUGUCGCUUGUUGUCAAAUGCUAAGCAUCUUAUAUAUGCAUUUGGAUAUGUCUUUUUGCAUUCAUUAAUCUCAUUAAGCACUUGUGAAGAGUCGUUACAACCAAACAUUGGUAGCUUCCAUAAUGUCCAAUAUCUCCCAUCAUAGUAUCCUGGCAUCUGGCUAUUUGCUCUAUGAAUACACCCAAACUUCCAUUUCCAAACAAUACAAGUUCCAUGUUACUAACAAGAUAUACAAUACUUAGAAAACAAAAGCAUCAAAUGGAAAAACAAAAAUAUCCACUUCAUAGAAUAAAAUAAUGUUAUACAAAAGUUUUAUUGGAUCAUGACAUGCAUAUCGUUAGAUUAUUACCGUUUGUUUAUAUCGACUUAUAUGAGUUUAUCUAAUGACAUAAACACUAUAAGAUUCUUUGAGAAAUUUUAUAAAAAUAACUUAUAGAUUCUAUGAAAAUAAUUUGACUUUAUUUUAAUUUUUGCUAUAAAUGCUUAAUUAAAUUGUUUAGUCAAACAUGGCCUUAAACCUUAAUAUAUAUCAUAUGAAUCAAUAUCAAAGAGCUCUAGUAUAGUAGUAGUAUACCUUUUUUCUUUCUUUCUUUCUUUUAAUAAUAAUAAAAAAAACUACCUUAUGUGAUAAACUAGACUUAGGUCGAUCUAACCUCAUCAAAUUCAAGGCAAGGUGUCCAUCUCUUCUUGAGCAUGUAGUCAAUCUCCUUUGCAAUUGAGUCAUCAGAAAGGGGUGGUAGAUAGGAAAGUGUUUCAAAUUUCUUAUUAUUGAUGGGAUUCCAUGUCUGUUUUAAGUUACAAAAUUAUAUCACAAAUCAAAGCAUAUUAGAAAAGAAAAGAAAAAGACCAACAUGGGAGUACUAGUGCAUAUAUAACCAUGCUAUCAUAAUAUAUGGCUAUUGUAUAAGAUUACUUAACCUUCAUGCAGUGAAUUUUAGAACCAUUGGAGACAGUCUUCUUUUUCCAUUCAAUGGAAUAAGUAGCACUGGGCCAAAGACUUGAUGAGUUGGACUUCAAGCCCACAAAGCCAGGCCCAGCAACUGGAGCUGCAAAUGUUCCAGCAGACAUUUUAAUCAAAUAAAUGUCUGAUCUUUGAAGGAGGCAGAAUAGUUAAGAUGAAAGGAAGAAAGGAAUAGGCUUAGGUGAUCAUGAAUGAUAUGUUAAGUAAGUAAUUUAUAAGAAGACAGUGGGCACAAUAAAAUGGAGAUUUUAAUUAGGA
RNAcentral lists this long non-coding RNA (1792 nucleotides) under Medicago truncatula (barrel medic). RNAcentral's name for it is "lncRNA gene27578". Lineage: Eukaryota; Viridiplantae; Streptophyta; Magnoliopsida; Fabales; Fabaceae. The record is from RNAcentral.